GCAAACUGCGUGAACUACUAUGGCUCCGCUCCAGUACGCAGAUAAUGUCACUUGUCAACUGAGGAAUGACAAGGUUCAUAAACCUAGAAAGAAGAGCUUUCUUCUCAUAAAGGGCUGCAGCCUGCAGGGCAGCCAUUGUGACAGGCUGAGAAGCAGAGCCUCCAGCCAGAAGCCAGAAACAGACCCUUCCAGGGGCAGAAGAACAAGACAGGAAUUUAUGCUGAAUGAGGUAUUUGCUGCUCAGAAUUGGCAAAUAGAGGAAUAAACUCUGUUACCAAAUUCCUUAAUUUCAGGAGAACCCAUGAAAGGAGUAUCAUCCAAUCAGGUCAACUCUCUUUGGUUUCCUAAUGUCUAAACAUUUCACAAUUUAUGGAAUUAUGAAAGGAUCCAGCUCCCCAGAGGAUGUGAGCACAUCUGAACACAAUUAUGCACUGCAGCCAGACAACUGUUAGCUUUCUGGGGCAAAAGACACAGAGAAAGACCAGGAUAAUCCUUGUGCGUGCAGCUCAGAUUUGGCCCCUGUCGCCACACGCUGCCAAGCCUGUCACAUUCUGGCAAUAAGGAGCAAUGCUUGGAUGGGGACCAGGACCAUGCUGACAUCUGACCACCUCUGCAGUCUGGGCGAAUUCCAAGAAAUCCCUCAGAAGAAAGUGCCAUGCAGAAAUAUCCUGGCGGGGGAACUGCCCACACAGCUGUGCCAGUUAUUCACCCUCGCCAGAUUCUUCAUGCUCUUUCCCACUUCAAGGCCCUUGCAUUAGCUGUUCUCCCUGACCAUGCACUUGACUCUCAAGAACAUUUAGGUAAGUCAUGUCCUUACCUAAGCUUAGGGGCUUAAGCGAGGGACUUGGUGUCCUGGAAGUACUCCCUAGCUCGCCACUCUAUGUAGCACCCAGUCCAGAUCUUCAGCCUCCAUCCAUCCUUUGAGAAUGUUUUAUCCUCUGAUCCCUUGAGAUAUGGGCCCUUUCUGUGACCCACCAGCCUGUGCCAGAGCCCAGGGCCUUAAUUCUGGAGGAGACAUGAUGCUACCCUGGGAACAGGUCCUUCCGGGACACGAGGCAGCUGGAGAGCUCUGGGUGUGACAGAGGAAUACGGAAACAGGGAGAAGAAACAAAGAAACAGAGAAAUGAGGAAACGAGGAAGGAAAAGGGUGGCUCCUGGAGACAAAUGUUUCCUUCUCCACACUUCUGCUGAUGCUGAGGUGGCCUUUAAAGUGCCAGCAAGGAGGAGCCGGGAGGGGUUUGCACAUGUGUUGCUGGGCAUGGAUGGGGUGGUGUGUGUGCCAGGAUGGGAGCCUUCCUGGGCAGUCACUACUGGGUGGGGCGCUCCAGUCAAGACAUCAAGACAGACAGCUAAGGCUUUCUCCCAAACCAAAAGACUUGCAAACUUCCCUACAAGUUCUGAGUUUUCUUCUGAAGCUAACUUCUUGGAACUCAAUGGCAUGAAACCGUCAUGCAGUUAAAGCAUUUAAGGGCUGUAUAUGCCCUGGGGGCUGUCAAUGUCAUAGACACUGUCAUUUCUCUCUCCCUGCACAAAAAUAACUAAAAUGAUGAAUCCGGCUGGCUCUCCCCUCUCCCUCGCUAUCCUCCACCUUUUAUGCAGUCCUGCGGACAUUCUGAUCUGUUUCCUCCUCCCCAUCCUCCCCUUCCCUCCCAAGUAUACUCUCAGCUCUUCGUGGUCUCUCUCUCCCAACUGCAGCCUCCCCCAAGACUCCAUCUUCAGGCCUCCUUCCCUCACCAUCUCCAAGGCUGCGGCUCCAGGACACAAGCUGACCACCCUGCCCAACCCGAAGUCCUCGACUGAUGCUCAGCGCUUAUAGGUUCAAGUCCAGGCUCCCUAGCAUAGCACUGAAGUCAUGGCUCAGUUUACCCUUCCAAGCCUGUCUCCCCCAAGUCCUGCCCUCCUCCUCUCAUCACUGCCAAGUACAUCAAGCACUCCCACGUGGCUGGGCUUUAACCCAAGCUGCUCUCUCUUCCCAGAAGGCUCUUCUCUGACUUGCUGCCAAAACACAAAGUCGCUUGGAGGUGAAGGCAAAUAUUAGUUCAGCUGGCAAGCUCCUCUCCACGUCCUCAUCAAAGCCCCCAGCUCCAUGAGCUUCUGGGCUGUUCCUGUGGAUUUCUGCACUCUCUGUGUUGAAACAUCUGUAAUGGGUUAUAGCUGGGAGUUGGAAUGUCUGCCUCCCUUUUCGCUGAGAAGAAGGGGGUCUUUACAGGAUCGAACGCUCCCUGGGUUCUGUCUCCUUCCUUUCAAUAUAGUGAGCAGUUCCUCCCACCUAGUGGGUUCUCCUUAGAUGUCUGGGAGGUCAUCUAUCCAGUGCUGGCUGUUGCAGAUCUGUGCAGUUGCUUUUUGAACAGGACCCACAUCCGUCUUCCAAAAUAUCUAAAAUUAGGUCUUUGACAGUUCCUGAAAAUGUUAGUUAUCAUAUAAUCCAGCAACUCCACUCCAAGGUAUAUAGCCAAAAGAAUUGAAAUCAUAUUCCACACAAAAAUGUAUACCUGAAUGCUCAUAGCAGCAUUAUUCACAAUAGCCAAGAAAUGGAAACCACCCAAAUGUCCAUCAACCCACAAAGGCAUAAGUGAACUGUGAUAUACCCAUACGACAGAAUACCGUUUGGCUAUAAAAGGAGGGACCGAUUCGUGCUACAAUGCGGAUGGGCCUUGAAAACAUGCUAAGUGCAAGACGCCAGUUACAAAAGAUCACAUAUUAUGUGAUUUCAUUCAUGUGAAAUGUCCAGAAAUAGUCAAAUUUAUAGAGAAAGAAAGCAGAUUAGUGGUCGCCAGGAGCUGGGGCAAAGGAGGGCGUGAGCGUGAUUGUGAAUAGGUAUGGCUUUUUAGAGAGGAAAGGGGGUUGUGGUCAUGGUCGCACAGCAUGUGACUCAUGGAGUUUGUGCCCUUGAGAGGAGGGACUGCUGUGGCAUGUGAGUUACAUAUAAUUAGGCCUUCAGUGCUGCCAGCAUUCUCAUCCUUGGAGGGCCAGGUAUCUUUUCUGUUGUUUUGUUUUGUUUUGUUUUAUGAGAUGGAGUCUCACUGUCACCCAGGCUGGAGUGCAAUGGUGAGAUCUCCGCUCACUGCAAUCUCCAUCUCCCAGGUUCAUGCGAUUCUCCUGCCUCAGCCUCCCAAGUAGCUGGGACCACAGGCACCUGCCACCACGCCCAGCUAUUUUUUUUUUUUUUUUGGUAUUUUUAGUACAGACGGGGUUUCACCAUGUUGGCCAGGGUGGUCUCGAUUUCCCGACCUCGUGAUCUGCCCGCCUCAGCCUCCCAAAGUGCUGGGCUUACAGGCGUUAGCCACCGCGCCCCACCGUAUCUUUUCGGUUCUAAGCACAAGACAAUUGUCUUGGGAACACCUCCCGGCUCUUGGCCUCAGUAUGUUUUCUUUAGCCCUACGUUUCCCCUUUGCUCUCUCCCCGCGUGUGAUGGGGGCUGCCUGGGUGGGGCUGUCACAGCGGCAGGUGGGUGAGGAGCCCCUAGGCGCGUCCGGAGGAAGGCUCACCCGGAGGCCGCCUGCAGGCGGCCAGGUGCCAGCCACUGCGGGCCUCUGGGGCCGAAGCCGGCGGAUGGUGAGACGCUGGUUGGUCUGCAACACUGCCCAGACCCCGGGCACUCAUGUCUAGAAAAAAGCUGACUCGUGACACCAAAGGAGCUCUUUCAAGCUUCCUGCACGCUCUUAGCGCCAGAGCACCCCAGCCGUCCUGGGAGCCCCCGAAGCCAAGCAUAUUCGAACUCCGAAUCCGCUCGAUCGCCGGGGACCUGCCAUCUGGGUUCGGUUCCCCAAGGUCGCUGCCGACCUUAGACCGCGGGGGUGUGGGGCGCCGGGGAAGGAGACAGAAGGACAGGCGCCGCCCAGGGCCGCGGGGACACUUGGGGCUGCGUCCUGGGUGGGCGCGAUGCUCCCCCAGAACGACUGGAGAUGGAGAGUGUCGGGGAGGGAAACGGGACCCACGAAUUCAGGGCGCUGAGUCGGCGGAAUGCGCCCUGACUCCCCCUGGCCGAGAGCCGGCUCAGAAUGAAAGAGCGCGGAGUGGGAGGUCUGGGAAAUGGCAGUAUUUGUAUUAGGGAGAGAAGGAAACAGGAGUGGGAGCCGCACGGCUUGGGGAACGCGGGAGAUCGCGGAUUGCGGGGAUAGCGCAGCGCGGCUGCCCGGGGCUGCUGGGAGGGGCCGGACGAGGCCAGGGCGAGCGGGGUAACUGCGGCCGGCCGGACGGCGGCGGUAACCGGCUGCACCGAGGUGGUUCCACCACCGCGCUGGGCGCUUGCGGUUCGUCUGCUCCAACGAAAGCCGCGUCCCACGCUCCCUGCCGCCGCGUGGUUUUGCCUCCUCAGAGGGGCAGCGGCGACCCAGGGGCUGGCGGUGGAUGUCAGGAGUGCGCUUUCCUUCUAGGCCUUCUCCCUCAUGACUGGUUUUGUUUUUAGAUUACAAAAAUAACUUAUAUUAUUUAAUUAAAAAUACAUAAAAUAUAUUGUGAUAGCGCAGAAUAAUGGCCCUCCAAGAAUGUCCACGGCCUAAUGUCUAGAAACUGUUAUAUGGCAAAAUAAAUACAUAAAUAAGGUGGAAGGCCUUUGCAGAUGUGAUCAAGCUAAGGAUUUUUUUAUUUUUAUUUGAUAUUGAUUGAUUGAUUGAUUGAGACAGUCUUCCUCUGUCUCCCAGGCUGAAGUGCAGUGGCGCGAUCCCGGCUCACUGUAACCUCCGCCUCCUGGGUUCAAGCGAUUUUCCUGCCUCAGCCUCCCGAGUAGCUGGGAUUACAGGCUCCUGCCAUCACGCCUGGCUAAUUCUCGUAUUUUAGUAGAGACAGGGGUUUCACCAUGUUGACCAGGCUGAUCUCGAAUUCCUGACCUCAAGUGAUCCGUCUGCCUUGGCUUCCCAAAGUGCUGGGAUGACAGAUGUGAGCCACAGCGCCUGGCAAACUAAGGAUUUUUAGACCGGGGAUUACCCUGGAUUAUCCAGGUGGAUACAAUGUCCAGUGAUCACAGGGGUCCUAGAAGAGGGAGGCAGGGGAGGCAGAGGAGAAGUGAGGGCAGAAGGAGAGGUCAGAGGGAUGUGUUUGCUUCGAGGAUCAAAGAAGGGGAGCACCGGCCAAGGGAUGCGGGCAGCUUCUAGAAGGUGGGAAAGGCAAGGAUAUGGAUUCUCCCUGAGCCUCCAGAAGGAACCCAGUUCUGCAGACACUUUGAUGUUAGCCCAGUGUGACCCUAUGCAUACUUCUGACCUCCAGAACUGUGCAAGAAUAAUCUGUGUUGUUUUAGGCCCCUCAAUCUGUGGCGAUUUGUUAUAGGAGUCCUAGGAAAUACCUGAACACAAACAUUUAAAACAUAAAGAAGUCACCUGUAAUCCACUUCCCAGAAUGAACUCAUUCAGCAGCCUGAGGAGCAGGGCUGACUGAUGAAAACACUUGAAAGGAGGAAGUGCCGUCUUGCUAAGGCUGGUGUGUUCAGAAGAGGACACCGUGAAUGAUUCUCCUGACUAAGAUGGUCCACUAAAAGGAACCAGGGCUCCGUGGAGAAAUGGCGACUUCUGGGAUUAAGGCUGGAGAGGAAUAAGAUGAACCCAGAAUAUAUUAUUCUGGCAGACAGUGAGGAAGUACCCAGAGAAUGGUAGGAACUCAUCCAAAGGACAAAAGCUUGAAGGGGCUCUCAUUGGGCAAAUCUGGAAUCUUUUGAGUAACAAUCAUGUUAGUAUUGAAUUGUAACUCUUUUUUUUUUCUUUUUGUAGCUGGGAUUACAGAUGCCUGCCACUAUGCCUGGCUGAUUUUUGUAUUUUUAAUAGAGAUGGGGUUUUGCCAUGUCGGCCAGGCUGGUCUUGAACUCCUGGUCUCAAGUGAUUGGCUCACCUCGGCUUCCCAAAGUGCUGAGAUUACCGGUGUGAGCUACCACACCCGGCCUAUAACUCUUCUUACUUUAUUAUAAGCACAGUCUAAGAAUCCACUAGUACCUACAGGUACAGUAAUAUAAAUGAAAAAGUAAAGAGGGAGAAGAAAACUCUUUCUUAUCAACUAAUAAACGCAGAAAGAUAAUGGAAUAAGAAAAUACCGCUUGGAACUACCAUAGUAAUGAUUAUGUCAGGGAGAAUCAUCAGUGAAUGCUAAAUUGUGAGAAAAGUUUGAGAAACAGGAUUUGUAUAUGGUCUCAAACUAUCGCUGCACGAGGGAGAUUCCCAGUAAUGACCGAGGGGAAAACAGUCACUUUACUGUGGGGAAACCUGACAAACCUUAUUCAAGCGAUCAAAGUUAACAUCACCAGCAAUGGGACAAAUAGGCAACACGUGCCUCUGGUGUGCUGCAGCAGGCCUCCAUGAUGCAAUAGCCCUUCAUGGUGCUCGUGCUGGCCGUGCAGAACCUGCAUUCAAUUGUGAGGAAAUACCAACACAUCAAACAGAGGGACAUUUUCUAAAACACUGGCUUCUGCCCUACAAAAAUGUCAAUGUCAUUUUUGACAAAGACUGAGGAACUGUUUCUUACUGAAGAGGACUAAAGAGGCCUGACAACUAAGUGCAGUGUGGAUUCUGAAUAGUGGGCCAGAUGAAAAAUGUUUGUUUGUUUGUUGGUUUGUUUUAAUUAUAAAGGAAGUGAAUCAUACUAAGGCAUAGAUGAACCUUGAGGACACUGUGUGCGAUGAAAUAAUCCAGACACGCCAGGCGCGGUGGCUCGUGCCUGUAAUCACAGACAGCACUUUCGGAGGCUGAGGCAGGCAGAUUGCUUGAGCUCAGGAGUUCCAGACCAGUUUGGGAAACAUGGUGAAAUCCCACCUAUGCAAAAAUUAGCUGGGCAUGGUGUCCCAAGCUUGCAGUCCCAGCUACUUAGGGGAGGUGGAGGCCGCAGUGAGCUGUGAUCAGGCCUCUGCACUCCAGCCUGGGUGACAAAGAGAGACCCUUUCUCAAAAAAAAAAAAAAAGUCCAGGCACGGUGGCUCAUGCUUGUAAUCCCAGCACUUUGAUAGGCCGAGGCGGGUGGAUCGCCUGAGGUCAGGAGUUCUAGACCAGCCUGGCCAACAUGGUGAAACCCCGUCUCUACUAAAAAUAUAAAAAUUAGCCGGGAUUGGUGGUGGGCACCUGUAAUCUCAGCUACUUGGGAGGCUGAGGCAUGAGAAUCACUUGAACCCAGGAGACGGACGUUGCAGUGAGCCAAGAUCACACCACUGCACUCCAGCCUGGGCGACAAAGUGAGACUCUGUCUCAAAAAGAAAAACAAAACAAAACAAAAAGUAGAAAAAAAGAGAAAUAAUCCAGUCACAAAAUGACAAAUUAUCGUGUCAUUCCACUUAUAUGAAGUACCAAGAAUAGUCAAAUUUAUAGAGACAAAAAGUAGAUGGAGGGUUACCAGGAGCUUGGAGGAGGGGAAAUGGGGACUUCGUGUUUAAUGUGUUCAGAGUUUCCGUUUGGGGUAACGGGAGAUGGAUAAUUGUGAUGGCUGCAUAGCACUGUGAAUGUAAUCAAUGCCAUAAGUUGUACUUUUAAUGGUUAAAGUGGUAAAUCUUACACAUAUUUUACUAUAAUAAAAAUAAUUUCUGAAAAAAAGUCUUCAACUUUCAAAUAAAUGGGUAGACAAUUGACAACAUUUACAUAAGGUCUGUAGAUUAUAUAAUAAUGGUAUGUCAAGAUUAAUUUCCUCAUCCUGAUAAAUGUACUGUGGUUAUGUAAGAAAAUGUCAGCUGGUCCAAAGGUAGUGAGUUAUCUCAAUUGAUUGUUCCCAGACAGUUACAGAUCAAACUCCUUCUACUCUUUCCCCGCUUCUCACCACUGCACUUGACUAGUUUUAAGAUAAAUAAAAUGUCUGUGUGUGUG
This is a long non-coding RNA of Homo sapiens (human), 7768 nucleotides long. RefSeq lists it as uncharacterized. The record is from RefSeq and is a predicted model, not a curated record. The transcript has 4 exons. NCBI's taxonomy places the organism in Eukaryota, Metazoa, Chordata, Mammalia, Primates, Hominidae.